Capsicum annuum is the source of this 107-nucleotide non-coding RNA. The record is from Rfam. NCBI's taxonomy places the organism in Eukaryota, Viridiplantae, Streptophyta, Magnoliopsida, Solanales, Solanaceae.
UGAUGAUGGUGAGGGCAAUUUCUGAGCAUACUUUUAAAUCUCUCCCAAUGUUGGUAGAUAUUCUCUCCUUCUUUCUGUCAAAAAUUCAAAAUCUCACUUCUUAACAU